This 300-nucleotide ribosomal RNA is filed under the name Schizocoerus liguloideus. RNAcentral describes it as "bacterial SSU rRNA". It matches the Rfam family "Eukaryotic small subunit ribosomal RNA", at positions 1505 to 1764 of the family's 1831-position model. The record is from RNAcentral. Lineage: Eukaryota; Metazoa; Platyhelminthes; Cestoda; Amphilinidea; Schizochoeridae.
GAUGGUACCAACGAGUUUGAAAUUCUGGCCCGAGAGGGUUGGGUAAACUGUUUAAUUACCGUCGUGACAGGAAUCGGGGCUUGGAAUUGUUCCCCGUAAACGAGGAAUUCCUAGUAAGUGCAAGUCAUUAGCUUGCACUGAUUACGUCCCUGCCCUUUGUACACACCGCCCGUCGCUACUACCGAUUGAAUGGUUUAGCAAGGUGAUUGGAUUGACGACAUUGUUGCACUGCUGCUGCUUGCUGCUGCUGCUGCUGCUGCUGCAAUAUGUGCACAAAAUUUGUUGAAAAGAUCACCAAAC